Molecule: ribosomal RNA, 436 nt
Filed under: Capnocytophaga canimorsus
Lineage: Bacteria; Pseudomonadati; Bacteroidota; Flavobacteriia; Flavobacteriales; Flavobacteriaceae
Description: bacterial SSU rRNA
Rfam family: Bacterial small subunit ribosomal RNA
Source: RNAcentral
UUCGGCACUUGAGACCGGCGCACGGGUGCGUAACACGUGUACAAUCUACCUUUUGCUAAGGGAUAGCCCGAAGAAAUUUGGAUUAAUACCUUAUAGUAUUGUUUGGUGGCAUCACUGAAUAAUUAAAGCUCUGGUGGCAAAAGAUGAGUACGCGUCCCAUUAGCUAGUUGGUGUGGUAACGGCAUACCAAGGCUACGAUGGGUAGGGGUCCUGAGAGGGAGGUCCCCCACACUGGUACUGAGACACGGACCAGACUCCUACGGGAGGCAGCAGUGAGGAAUAUUGGACAAUGGUCGGAAGACUGAACCAGCCAUGCCGCGUGCAGGAUGACGGCCUUAUGGGUUGUAAACUGCUUUUAUACAGGAAGAAUAAGGUCUACGCGUAGAUUGAUGGACGGUACUGUAUGAAUAAGCAUCGGCUAACUCCGUGCCAGCAG